Molecule: non-coding RNA, 4375 nt
Organism: Oryctolagus cuniculus (rabbit)
Lineage: Eukaryota; Metazoa; Chordata; Mammalia; Lagomorpha; Leporidae
Source: RefSeq, a predicted model, not a curated record
CGAAAAAAAAUUUCAUUUCUUAAGAUGGGAUUACCACUUGCUUAUUUUAGGAACAGUCCCAUUUUUUAUGAUAAAAAAGUAGACAUUUUAACAUGAAAGUAAUAGUGGGUAAAAUAUUCAAUGAUAUAACUUUUUGAGUUAUUAUUUGUUUUAAAAAUUAUUUUUCUUUCUUUUUUUUGACAGGCAGAGUGGACAGUGAGAGAGAGAGAGAGAGAAAGAUCUUCCUUUUCCAUUGGUUCACCCUCCAAUGGCCGCUGCGGCCGGCGCACUGCGCCUGGCGCACCGCGGUGAUCUGAAACCAGGAGCCAGGUGCUUCUCCUGGUCUCCCAUGUGGGUGCAGGGCCCAAGGACUUGGGUCAUCCUCCACUGCACUCCUGGGCCACAGCAGAGAGCUGGACAGGAAGAAGAGUGACCGGGACAGAAUCUGGCACCCCAACUGGGACUAGAACUGGGGGUGCCAGCGCCACAGGCGGAGGAUUAGCCUAUUGAGCCACGGUGCUGGCCAAAAACUAACAGUUGCUCAUUUGUAUCAGUGUGGAAGAGGAGGUGACCCUUUCGGAAGAAUGGUAGUGUUUAUUGAAGAAGCCUGAAAAGCUGCUGUAAUGGUUGGAUCUUCAGUUGCCAUCUUAAUGAAGAGGAAGAAGCUACUGUCUCAGCAGUGAUGGAGCAGAAAGAAGGGUGGUUUUGUUCUUAUUAAUAUCCUGAGGCUACCAAAUCAGCUCUGGACUACCACUCUCUGGCCUUUUAUCAUACAAGAGAAAAAUAAGGUAUUAAUUUUUUUGGUAUAAGCAGCUGAAACUAAUUCUUUUUCAAAUCCUAACCCUUUCUGAUAGCUAUUAGACCAUAUUUCUACCAGAGAAUGACACUUUUUAAAGACAGUAAGAUUCUAAUUGUAAUACUCGUGCAGUUUUCUCAUACAAACUAUACAAUGAAUCAUAUAACUUUGCAAAAGCUUUCAAGGUACCCUAACAAGUUCUCAAUAAACGUCAAUGUUGAAAAAAGAUUUUAAAGGUUUUUCACAAUGAAUCAGUGUUUCCCAGACUAAUGUAACAAGAGCAAUCACUAAGUCAUUAUUUUAAAAAAACAAGGUCUUAAAUUUGGUGCUGAACAAAGUUAAGGCAAUAUAAUCCCUGUUUCCUAAAAAGUAUAAAUUUUGAAAGAUAAUAUGAGGCAUACAGAAAGCAACAUGCAAAUCUCAAUUAUAUAAGCAUUGUUUUGUCCUGCAAACCAUGUAUUUUUAUUGUAUUGAGAAUAAACUUUUGGUACUGAAAGUACAGCUAUGAAGACAGAAUACUUGGCAAGCUCUAACAAUGGGAGGAGAAGGAUUAGUAUUAUUUUCUGUGGCUGAGUCAGCUUAGGUUUCUUAUGAAACUUAAGAGCUUUAUGUGUUUUAUUUGAUUAUUUUAAAUUGACAUAAUACUUUCAGAUAUUUAUUGGGUAAAAUGUAAUAUUUCAGUACACGUAUACAGUGUGUAAUGAUCAAAUCAGGGCAACUAACUUAUCUGUCACCUCAAACAUUUAACUUUCAUUUGUGUUAGGAAUAUUAAAGACUGGCACCAUGGCUCAAUAGGCUAAUCUUCCACCUAGCGGUGCCGGCACACCGGGUUCUAGUCCCGGUCGGGGCGCCGGAUUCUGUCCCGGUUGCCCCUCUUCCAGGCCAGCUCUCUGCUGUGGCCCGGGGAAAGCAGUGGAGGAUGGCCCAAGUGCUUGGGCCCUGCACCCCAUGGAAGACCAGGAGAAGCACCUGGCUCCUGCCAUCGGAUCAGCGUGGUGCGCCGGCUGCAGCGCGCCAGCCAUGGCGGCCACUGGAGGGUGAACCAACGGCAAAAGGAAGACCUUUCUCUCUGUCUCUCUCAGUAUCCACUCUGCCUGUCAAAAAAAAAAAAAAAAAGGAAUAUUCAAGUCCUUUCUUCUGGUUAUUUGGAACAGACAAACAACAAACUUAUUGUCCACUAUAGUAAGCCUUCUAUGCUAUGGAACACGAGAACUUAUUCCUCUUAAGCCACUGUAUUUUUGUCCCUUAUAACCAAUCUCAAUUUCUCCCCUCUCCUUCUCAGCCACUGGUAAGCCCUAUUUUACUCUCUACUUAUAAGAAAAUCAGCUUCUUUAGCUUCUAUAGAUGAGUAAGAAUUUGAAGCAUUUGUUUUUCUGUGCCUGGCUUAAUUCACUUAAGAAAACAUUCUGAAUUCCACCCAUGUUAAGCAAAUGACAGGAUUUAGUUUUUUAAAUGUCUGAGUGAUGUUUUAGUAUGUGUAUAUACCACAUUUUCUCUAUCCAUUCACCCAUCAGCUGAUCAUCUAUCAACAUCUAAGUUGAUUGCAUACCUUAGCUAUUGUGUAGUACUAUAAUAAACAUGGGAAGCCAGGUAUCUCUUUGAUAUUCUGCUUUCAUUUCCUCUGAAUAUAUAUCCCCUUGUGGAAUAGCUGGAUCAUAUAGUUGUUCUAUUUUCAAUUUUAGUUUGAGGACCCUUGUUUGUUUUCCAUAGUUACUGCACUUACAAUCUUACCACCAGUAUCUAAUAGUUCCCUUUUGUUGCACCCUUGCCAACAUUUGUUAUUUUUUUUUUCAUCUUUUUGAUUAUUGCUAUUCUAAUUGGGGUGAGUAGCUCAUUGUGUUCUGACAUGUAUUUCCCUGUGGUUACUGGUGUUGAGAUAUUUUAAUAUAGCAUUUGGUCAUUUAUGUUUCUUCUUUUGAGAAAUGUUUACUUAAAUCAUUUGUACUUUUUUUGACUGGAUUUUUUUUUUAUUGUUGAGUUGUCAGUAUCUUGUUGGAUGAAUAGUUUGCAAAUAUUUUCUGUUAUUCUGUAAGUUGUCUCUUCACUCUGCUCUUUCUUUGGCUGUGUAGAAGCUUCUUAGUUUGACAUAAUCCUGUUUGUCUAUAUUCGCUUUUAUUUUGUAUGCAUUUGGGCUUUUAUUUUAAAAAGUCAUUGCCUAUACUGAUGUUUUGCAGUAUUUCCUUUAUAUUUUCUUCUAGUAGUUUCAUAGUUUCAGGUCUCAGAUUCCUUGUGAGUUGAUUUUGUAUAUGAUCAGGGAUAGGAAUCUAGUUUCAGUAUUCGUUGUAGCAAUGUCUAAUUUUCAAAGCUUUAUGUCAUUCAGAGGGGCUAAACACUGGUACAGGGCAGCAUUUUACUUAUCAAAACAUUUGAGGACACAGUGUUGUUGAUUGUGUGUGUGUGUGUGUGUGUGUGUGUGAGAAUAAUGGCUUUUUAACAGUGUUCGAUUAGGAGACAUUAGGAACUGUGCCUUGGAAGCUAUUAGCAAUUUUAUCUAAUGGAUUUUAUAAUACAUCAUAAAACAAUCAGCAAGUGAAGACAUCCCAAAUGCUUAACAUGCCAAUUUGCCUCAGACACUGGCCAUAUGAGGUGCUUUCAGGAACUAGCAAUGAGAAUCAUGGAUAAUAAAUGAUAAAAGACUGAAGGAUACUGACAGUCAAAAGAGAUGAUGCCAGAAACCUCAUUUAGCCAAAAAACUUCAGCAAAUUGGCAUUUUACUUUGAAGUGAAAUUUGUUUUAUAUUUCCAAAGAAACUUAACUUUUAGCUUCUGAAUGAGCUCUAGUAAUAUGGGAGGGGGGUGGUCUGACUGAUGGUUUUUCUUAGCACUCUCAAAUUAUUAACUUGGGGUUGACCUUGAGGUGCAGCAUGUAAGCCACUGCCUGCAGUGCAGACAUCCUUUAUCAGAGCACAGGUUCAAGUUGAGGCUGCUCUGCUUCUGAUCUAGCUUCCUACUAAUGUGCCUGGGAAGGCAGUAGAAGAUGGUUCAAGUACUUGGCCCCUGUCAUCCACAUGGGAGGACCAGAUAGAGUUCCUGGCUCUUGGGUUUCAGCCUGGCCCAGCCCCAACCCCAGCUGCUGCGGCCACUGGGGAACUGAACCAACAGACGGAAGAUCUUUCACUCGGUCUCUCCCUCUUUGUCAGUCACUCUGUCUUUCAAAUAAAUAAAUAAGUCUGAAAAAAAUAAUUAGGUCAAAUUUAAAAACAAACUCUAUCACUUUUCUCCAUUAGAAUAAGAUCUAUUAUAAUAAUAUAAAUUCAUCUGAACAGGUGAUUUAAAGAUUUGUUUCUUUUUAUAAUCAAUAUUGAAAUCAAAUCAAGUCAAGCCAUCUGCUUCAGUGUUUUUUUUUUUUUUUUUUCUGGUCAGGAUUAACAAAAUAAUAGAAUAAUGGACACUCUAAAUACAUUAGUAUAAGAUCUGUAAGUAUGGGCCUAUGUAUUUUUUAUGACAAUCGAGGAAAACUAAAAACAACUGUGCUUUAUACUUGCUUUUUGUUCAAAUCCUUAAAAUUUAAAUAAAUAGUAGCAAAUUCACUAAUGAGAUUGAUGUAACAAUUAUACCACACCUGGAAAACAACAGAUACUCAAUAAAUGACAGCUGUUAA